AACGAACGCUGGCGGCAUGCCUAACACAUGCAAGUCGAACGAGACCUUCGGGUCUAGUGGCGCACGGGUGCGUAACGCGUGGGAACCUGCCCUUAGGUUCGGAAUAACUCCCCGAAAGGGGUGCUAAUACCGGAUAAUGUCUUCGGACCAAAGAUUUAUCGCCUUUGGAUGGGCCCGCGUUGGAUUAGCUAGUUGGUAGGGUAAAAGCCUACCAAGGCGACGAUCCAUAGCUGGUCUGAGAGGAUGAUCAGCCACCCUGGGACUGAGACACGGCCCAGACCCCUCGGGGGGGCAGCAGGGGGGAAUUUUGGAAAAGGGGCAAAAGCCUGACCCAGAAAUGCCGGGGGAGUGAUGAAGGCCUUAGGGUUGAAAAGCUCUUUUACCCGGGAUGAUAAUGAAAGUACCGGGAAAAAAAGCCCCGGCUAACCCCGU
This 432-nucleotide ribosomal RNA is filed under the name uncultured bacterium. Its description in RNAcentral is "partial 16S ribosomal RNA". It matches the Rfam family "Bacterial small subunit ribosomal RNA", at positions 29 to 506 of the family's 1533-position model. The record is from RNAcentral.